GGGGUCGGGAUUGAAAAAUUUGAUAAUCAAAUAAGUUGAAGGUUGUUUGUUUUGAUUCAUUAUUGACUAUUGUCGAAUUGGAUAGUAUCAUAAUAGGUCAUGUGGGUAGGCAAUCGUAGGGUCGGGUAGGCAAAAUUUAGAAAUAAGUGUUUCGUUGGAUGUUCGAAUGUGGAGUAUGUGUUGAAUGUUUUCUACUUUAUCACAUUCGACGCAAAUGUAUUCAUUUAGCCGGGGAAUGCCCCGAGGACUUUUGUACUUAUUCACCGGGGAAUGCCCCGACGUAUCAUGUUGGCGGAAAAUGAUCGUGAUGAAGGCCCGCGG
This 321-nucleotide long non-coding RNA is filed under the name Capsicum annuum. RNAcentral's name for it is "long non-coding RNA (CANN_LNC012976)". The record is from RNAcentral. Lineage: Eukaryota; Viridiplantae; Streptophyta; Magnoliopsida; Solanales; Solanaceae.